This 404-nucleotide ribosomal RNA is filed under the name Verrucomicrobiota bacterium. RNAcentral's name for it is "Verrucomicrobia bacterium partial 16S ribosomal RNA". It matches the Rfam family "Bacterial small subunit ribosomal RNA", at positions 355 to 776 of the family's 1533-position model. Lineage: Bacteria; Pseudomonadati; Verrucomicrobiota. The record is from RNAcentral.
UGGGGAAUAUUGCACAAUGGAGGGAACUCUGAUGCAGCGACGCCGCGUGAACGAAGAAGGCUUUCGAGUCGUAAAGUUCUUUUAUAUGGGAAGAUAAUGACGGUACCAUAAGAAAAAGCCCCGGCUAACUACGUGCCAGCAGCCGCGGUAAUACGUAGGGCGCGAGCGUUGUCCGGAAUUAUUGGGCGUAAAGGGCUUGUAGGCGGUUGGCCGCGUCUGCCGUGAAAUCCUCUGGCUUAACUGGGGGCGUGCGGUGGGUACGGGUUGACUUGAGUGCGGUAGGGGAGACUGGAAUUCCUGGUGUAGCGGUGGAAUGCGCAGAUAUCAGGAGGAACACCGGUGGCGAAGGCGGGUCUCUGGGCCGUUACUGACGCUGAGGAGCGAAAGCGUGGGGAGCGAACAGG